CAAAUUGACAUACGGGCCUUAUUUUAUAUGUAUUGUAAAUGCAGGUAUUGCAUCAUCUUUUUGUAAAUUUUUGAGUUAUUGAGGUAAAUGUCAGAUUUCACGCAUGAAAUACCUCUCAUGUUUUUCUGUAUUUCAUAACUUAAAUUUCCAUGUAAAUUUCAUUAAAUUCUGUUCAGUAAUAAGAAAGUUGAUAUUUUAUAAACUUCAGUAAUUUAUGUUUUUAUCCCCAAAACCACUAUAAUGGGCCUCAAAUUGUCAAUUCAAAUUCGCGCCAAAGUAGUUAGAUUCCCCGGCUAUAUCGUGAAUCCCGUGGAAACACAAAUAGUCGGAGCUCACGGCUUAACCGUGAAUCCCAUGAAAUUUAGUAUUUGGCGGGACAUUAUCCUUUAAAUAGACUGGACUAGAUAUGCCUUGCGCACACCACCUUCCGACUUUAUAGACGAAUCUAUGUCUGAAUUAUUUUCUUGCUAGAAAUUUAUGCUCGAUCGAGCUUCUUCCGCCAGACGAUUUUACCUGGUGAUGUCAUAACCCGGAAGUACAAUGCCCGAGGUUCACUUGUCUUCACUCGCCUGGAUGUGAUAUUCCCAGCGCAGAGCUUUCGUCUCAUGGUUGUGCCGUAAACCGCAAAGACGAUGAUUUUUGUUAUCCUCUGAAGUCAGCUCAGGGAUGCAAUCACCUACCACCAUAGGGAGCCAACACGGAAUCAACGUAUUCACGGUUUAAAGGGACUGUAUUUUGAAUUUAGAAGCUACGUUUUGUUUGUGCUACUUAAAGUUCACAAUUACAUUAAAGACCUGUGUCACGUCAGAUUAGAAUGGACUAUAAGAA
Molecule: long non-coding RNA, 828 nt
Organism: Mercenaria mercenaria
Lineage: Eukaryota; Metazoa; Mollusca; Bivalvia; Venerida; Veneridae
Exons: 2
Source: RefSeq, a predicted model, not a curated record